UACGUAGGGUGCGAGCGUUAAUCGGAAUUACUGGGCGUAAAGCGUGCGCAGGCGGUUCGCUGUGUCUGCGGUGAAAGCCCCGGGCUCAACCUUUGAACUGUUGGUAAUACUGCUAUACUAAGAGGGCGUUAGAGGCUAACGGAACCGACGGAGUAGGGGUGAAAUCCGUUGAUAUCGUCGGGAACACCAAAAGCGAAGGCAGUUAGCUGGGACGACCCUGACACUGAGAGACGAAAGCGUGGGGAGCAAAAAGG
Molecule: ribosomal RNA, 254 nt
Filed under: uncultured bacterium
Lineage: Bacteria
Description: partial 16S ribosomal RNA
Rfam family: Bacterial small subunit ribosomal RNA
Source: RNAcentral